UGGGGUGUUGGCUCAGUGCUAGAGCAUUUGCCUAGCACAUAAGAGGCCCUAGGUUCAAUCCUAGCACCACAU
Molecule: transfer RNA, 72 nt
Filed under: Marmota monax (woodchuck)
Lineage: Eukaryota; Metazoa; Chordata; Mammalia; Rodentia; Sciuridae
Description: tRNA.Ala
Rfam family: tRNA
About the family: Transfer RNA (tRNA) molecules are approximately 80 nucleotides in length. Their secondary structure includes four short double-helical elements and three loops (D, anti-codon, and T loops).
Source: RNAcentral